Molecule: ribosomal RNA, 376 nt
Filed under: uncultured bacterium
Lineage: Bacteria
Description: bacterial SSU rRNA
Rfam family: Bacterial small subunit ribosomal RNA
Source: RNAcentral
UACAGAGGGUGCAAGCGUUAAUCGGAGUUACUGGGCGUAAAGGGCGCGUAGGCUGGUAUUUAAGUCGAUUGUGAAAUCCCUGGGCUUAACCUAGGAAUUGCAGUCGAUACUGAAUAUCUUGAGUAUGGUAGAGGAAAGUGGAAUUCUCGGUGUAGUGGUUAAAUACGUAGAUAUCGAGAAGAACACCGGUGGCGAAGGCGACUUUCUGGACCAAUACUGACGCUGAGGCGCGAAAGCGUGGGGAGCAAACAGGAUUAGAUACCCUGGUAGUCCACGCUGUAAACGAUGAGAACUAGAUGUCGCCUGGUUUAUACUAGGCAGUAUCGCAGCUAACGCAUUAAGUUCUCCGCCUGGGGAGUACGAUCGCAAGAUUAAA